GUGGGGAAUCUUAGACAAUGGGCGCAAGCCUGAUCUAGCCAUGCCGCGUGAUCGAUGAAGGCCUUAGGGUUGUAAAGAUCUUUCAGUGGGGAAGAUAAUGACUGUACCCACAGAAGAAGCCCCGGCUAACUUCGUGCCAGCAGCCGCGGUAAUACGAAGGGUGCAAGCGUUAAUCGGAAUUACUGGGCGUAAAGUGCGCGUAGGUGGUUUUGUAAGUUGGAGGUGAAAUCCCCGGGCUCAACCUGGGAACUGCCUCCAAAACUGCAUGACUAGAGUACGGUAGAGGGUAGUGGAAUUUCCUGUGUAGAGGUGAAAUUCGUAGAUAUUCGGAAGAACACCAGUGGCGAAGGCGACUCACUGGCCCGUUACUGACGCUGAGGCGCGAAAGCGUGGGGAGCAAACAGGAUUAGAAACCCCUGUAGUCC
RNAcentral lists this ribosomal RNA (425 nucleotides) under uncultured bacterium. RNAcentral describes it as "bacterial SSU rRNA". It matches the Rfam family "Bacterial small subunit ribosomal RNA", at positions 354 to 796 of the family's 1533-position model. The record is from RNAcentral.